GCAAUAGAACAAUGACUAAGACAG
This 24-nucleotide non-coding RNA is filed under the name Cricetulus griseus (Chinese hamster). The record is from RNAcentral. Lineage: Eukaryota; Metazoa; Chordata; Mammalia; Rodentia; Cricetidae.